Molecule: ribosomal RNA, 492 nt
Filed under: uncultured bacterium
Lineage: Bacteria
Description: partial 16S ribosomal RNA
Rfam family: Bacterial small subunit ribosomal RNA
Source: RNAcentral
AGUGAACGCUGGCGGUAUGCCUAACACAUGCAAGUCGAACGGCAGCACAGUAAGAGCUUGCUCUUACGGGUGGCGAGUGGCGGACGGGUGAGGAAUACAUCGGAAUCUACUUUUUCGUGGGGGAUAACGUAGGGAAACUUACGCUAAUACCGCAUACGACCUACGGGUUAAAGCAGUGGAUCUUCGGACCUUUCGCGAUUGAAUGAGCCGAUGUCGGAUUAGCUAGUUGGCGGGGUAAAGGCCCACCAAGGCGACGAUCCGUAGCUGGUCUGAGAGGAUGAUCAGCCACACUGGAACUGAGACACGGUCCAGACUCCUACGGGAGGCAGCAGUGGGGAAUAUUGGACAAUGGGCGCAAGCCUGAUCCAGCCAUACCGCGUGGGUGAAGAAGGCCUUCGGGUUGUAAAGCCCUUUUGUUGGGAAAGAAAAGCAGCAGGUUAAUACCCCGAUGUUCUGACGGUACCCAAAGAAUAAGCACCGGCUAACUUCGUG